UGGCUCAGAACGAACGCUGGCCGCAGGCUUAACACAUGCAAGUCGAGCGGGCGUAGCAAUACGUCAGCGGCAGACGGGUCAGUAACGCGUGGGAACGUACCUUUUGGUUCGGAACAACACAGGGAAACUGGAGCUAAUACCGUAUGUGCCCGAAAGGGGAAAGAUUCAUCGCCUUCAGAUGGGCCCGCGUCAGAUUAGCUAGUUGGUGGGGUAAUGGCCCACCAAGGCGACGAUCUGUAGCUGGUCUGAGAGGAUGAUCAGCCACACUGGGACUGAGACACGGCCCAGACUCCUACGGGAGGCAGCAGUGGG
This 312-nucleotide ribosomal RNA is filed under the name uncultured bacterium. RNAcentral's name for it is "bacterial SSU rRNA". It matches the Rfam family "Bacterial small subunit ribosomal RNA", at positions 20 to 358 of the family's 1533-position model. The record is from RNAcentral.